This 490-nucleotide ribosomal RNA is filed under the name Microlerneca leticia. RNAcentral describes it as "partial 16S ribosomal RNA". It matches the Rfam family "Bacterial large subunit ribosomal RNA", at positions 1833 to 2582 of the family's 2925-position model. Lineage: Eukaryota; Metazoa; Arthropoda; Insecta; Orthoptera; Phalangopsidae. The record is from RNAcentral.
CUUCUUGUAUGAAUAGGAAGUCGUGCCUGCCCACUGAAUAUAGGAUUGAAGGGCCGCGGUAUUUUGACCGUGCAAAGGUAGCAUAAUCAUUAGUCUUUUAAUUGGGGACUGGAAUGAAUGGUUUGACGAAACGAUGGCUGUCUUUUUAAUAUUUAUUUGAAUUUUACUUUUAAGUUAAAAGGCUUAAAUAAUGAAGGGGGACGAGAAGACCCUAUAGAUCUUUAUUUUUAACUGAUAAUGUAUUUUUUGGUAGUGUAUAUUAUUAUUUGUGAUAAAAUUGUGUUGGGGUGACGAGAGAAUAAGUAAAACUUCUUUAUAAUUAAACAUUGAUUUAUGAGUUUAAGAUCCUUUAUUAUGGAUUUAAGAUUAAGAUACCUUAGGGAUAACAGCGUAAUUUUAUUUGAGAGUUCUUAUCGACAAUAAAGAUUGCGACCUCGAUGUUGGAUUAAGAUGACUAAUUGGUGUAGUAGCUGAUGUUGUUAGUCUGUUC